UCUGAGAACCCAAGGCGAUGUUCCAACUCUUUUUCUUCACAAAAAGGGGACAAAGAACAUACCCCAAAAAUUCAGCAAUGCUUUUCUCCUUCUCCAACCCUUAUGCACCCUAAGCUCCUUUCUUCUUCAUGGACAGCCCCCGCCUCCUGUUUUGCUUUCAUCUUCUUCAUCCAUCACCAUGGACGCUGGCCAAAACCAGCAGUGAAACUCCAUUGCCGGCGAUUGCAGAUCUCACCUUCAUUAUCAUCUCUCUCACCCCUCUUUCCGUUGCGAUGAAACUUGCUGGAAGUCGGGGAAACUGCAGCUCCCAUUUCGUUCAUUAAUGGUGCUUUAGAUCUAACAAGAUCGGGCCUGUUUUGUUCUCGUUUUUCCGAUAAAUCAUUCAUCAUCGUUUAUUUUCUUGCUGAUAUAAGUGAAUGCGGAUGAAGAAAGCCCCAAACCAGUUGUUGGCUCAAGUUGUUUCUGGACUAAAGUCGUGUCUGAUGUUACUGGGAUGCUGCUGUAUCUACUGAUUUCUGCUUACGCCGAGCUCCCCGUUACUAUUUUAGCAUGGUUGAGUCUUCUCGUCGAAGUUCCAUCUUUGUAAUCUAGAAAUUUUCAUAUAUAAAACGCUAAUUUGGAGCCGUGGAAUUGCCGCUCGUUGUCCGCUGAUUUGCAUUGUUGUUGUACUGCUUCUCGUUGCUGUUAUGCUGCUGUGGAGCUACAUUUUUCUUUAAUUCCAUACUUUAUUUGAUCAAUUUCUGCAAUUCCUCCACUUUUAGGUAUGUACAUUCACCUAUCAGCAUUUACUUGAAUUCAUGAAUGAAAUGUGGUUAGCUUGUGUUGAUGUUUUGUUUGUUUACUUAGAGAUUGCAAGGAAUUUUGGGGAACUGAGUAUGUCUGGAAUGUACUGAUAUAAUGUCAAGGAAUUUUGGGGAACUGAGUAUGUCUGGAAUGUACUGAUAUAAUGUUAAAACUAGGAUAUGAAUAUAA
RNAcentral lists this long non-coding RNA (972 nucleotides) under Nicotiana tabacum (common tobacco). RNAcentral describes it as "long non-coding RNA (NTAB_LNC013745)". Lineage: Eukaryota; Viridiplantae; Streptophyta; Magnoliopsida; Solanales; Solanaceae. The record is from RNAcentral.